Molecule: non-coding RNA, 981 nt
Organism: Camellia sinensis
Lineage: Eukaryota; Viridiplantae; Streptophyta; Magnoliopsida; Ericales; Theaceae
Source: RefSeq, a predicted model, not a curated record
GAGUUACCUUAACUUGCUUUAUUUAAAUUAUGUUUUGUAAAUUAUAUUAGUUUUUAAAGUAUAUUAUUUGUUGAAUGAACUCUAUUUGCUUAAAAAGAGAAACCCAUAGGUAUAACCAUUUAUUAAAUGUGUUUUUGAAUAAUUAUUUUAUAAGUAUCAUCACGGAUGUCCCAUGUCUUGGAGGACUUAAAUAACCAUUGAUUCUCUGAUUUGUCACUUUAGUGAUGCUCUGAUUUGUCACUUCGGUGACCUCUAGUAUGGAGCAAAGUGUUGUGCGGAACUAAGUACUACACUAUUGUGAAAACUAUCUCUAGGGUCCGUACAAGUCACCUCUUGGGUCCAUUCAUCUAUAUUAUCAUGGAUCCACUGAUCCUCUAUUCUGUUUUUUGUUCUAGACCAUGGUUGUAAUUAUUUUGCUUAUAAGACUUCUGUACUAUAUAUUUGUUUUUGUAAAAUGAUUUAUACCAAACUAUUCUCUAUUUAGCCUAAAUAAUUAUCCAUAGUGAUUUUUGUACCCCUUAUGCUCUCAGUAUAAUGUUUCUCACUAUGUCAUGUGCUUAUAACUGUUAAAACCCUUUCCCCUGUUGGAUAAGUCUAGAAGAACUAAGAUAAAAAGUUGAAUGUGGCAAUUGUUGUGCAUGAGAGCCACGUGUUCAAUUAUUAGGAAGGGAGUUUCGCCCAAGUUUUCCUAUAAAUAGGUGAUGCAAUAGGAAAGAAUGGGAGGAAAAAAAAACAAGCGAACAAGAGAAAUGAGGAAAAGUAUAGCAAAGGAAAAAUAAAGUAGGAAUUAAUAUUAAGGUAAUAAGGCUUAGGGAGAAAUGUUAAUUCAUUAUUCAUUAGUUGGAAGUAACAGGAUCAGUGCGUGCAGUAAGUACAAGGCAUUUUGUAAUUAUAAUCUAACUCUAACAAUGUAAAUAAAUAGAAGCUCCGAUAGAUAUAUUAUUGUUACAAUUAAAUACGAUUUGGGUACCUUUUAUUUUA